RNAcentral lists this ribosomal RNA (201 nucleotides) under uncultured bacterium. RNAcentral describes it as "partial 16S ribosomal RNA". It matches the Rfam family "Bacterial small subunit ribosomal RNA", at positions 524 to 725 of the family's 1533-position model. The record is from RNAcentral.
UACAGAGGGUGCGAGCGUUGUUCGGAAUUAUUGGGCGUAAAGGGCGCGCAGGCGGCGCAUUUUGUCAGGCGUGAAAGCCCCGGGCUUAACCUGGGAACUGCGUUUGAUACGGAUGGCUAGAGUUCGGGAGAGGAGAGUGGAAUUCCCAGUGUAGAGGUGAAAUUCGUAGAUAUUGGGAAGAACACCGGUGGCGAAGGCGGC